RNAcentral lists this transfer RNA (72 nucleotides) under Dendronephthya gigantea. RNAcentral describes it as "tRNA-Tyr". It matches the Rfam family "tRNA". From Rfam's summary of the family: Transfer RNA (tRNA) molecules are approximately 80 nucleotides in length. Their secondary structure includes four short double-helical elements and three loops (D, anti-codon, and T loops). Further hydrogen bonds mediate the characteristic L-shaped molecular structure. tRNAs have two regions of fundamental functional importance: the anti-codon, which is responsible for specific mRNA codon recognition, and the 3' end, to which the tRNAs corresponding amino acid is attached (by aminoacyl-tRNA synthetases). tRNAs cope with the degeneracy of the genetic code in two manners: having more than one tRNA (with a specific anti-codon) for a particular amino acid; and 'wobble' base-pairing, i.e. permitting non-standard base-pairing at the 3rd anti-codon position. The record is from RNAcentral. Lineage: Eukaryota; Metazoa; Cnidaria; Anthozoa; Malacalcyonacea; Nephtheidae.
CCUUCGAUAGCUCAGUUGGUAGAGCGGGGACUGUAGAUCCCUAGGUCACUGGUUCAAAUCUGGUUCGAAGGA